Molecule: small nuclear RNA, 91 nt
Filed under: Meriones unguiculatus (Mongolian gerbil)
Lineage: Eukaryota; Metazoa; Chordata; Mammalia; Rodentia; Muridae
Source: RNAcentral
GUGCUCACUUCAGCACCACAUAUACUAAAAUACAAUUAGCAUGGCCCUGGGCAAGGAUGACACACAAAUUCAUGAAGCAUUCUGCAUUUUU